This 469-nucleotide unclassified non-coding RNA is filed under the name Hevea brasiliensis (rubber tree). Lineage: Eukaryota; Viridiplantae; Streptophyta; Magnoliopsida; Malpighiales; Euphorbiaceae. The record is from RNAcentral.
UAUGAGCAUUUUAGCAAGUACUGCGUGCCCAAUCUCUUGCACAAAAAUCGAAAGCACGAUGGAUCACGCGGCGGAUGCUCACCGGACGGAUUUGAUGACGAUAACAAGGUUUGUGUUGAAUGAACAGACGAAGCACCCUGAAUCCCGUGGAGACUUCAGUAUUUUGCUCAGUCACAUUGUUCUUGGCUGCAAGUUCGUAUGCACUGCUGUUAACAAGGCAGGUUUGGCUAAACUCCUAGGACUUGCUGGUGAGACUAAUGUGCAGGGAGAAGAUCAAAAGAAACUUGAUGUACUCUCAAAUGAAGUGUUUAUCAAGGCUUUGGUUAGCAGUGGCCGAACAUGCAUUCUUGUCUCUGAAGAAGAUGAAGAGGCCACAUUUGUGGAGCCAGCUAACCGUGGAAAAUACUGUGUAGUUUUUGAUCCUCUGGAUGGAUCAUCGAACAUCGAUUGUGGUGUUUCUAUUGGAACG